RNAcentral lists this ribosomal RNA (694 nucleotides) under Fictibacillus barbaricus. RNAcentral's name for it is "bacterial SSU rRNA". It matches the Rfam family "Bacterial small subunit ribosomal RNA", at positions 557 to 1252 of the family's 1533-position model. Lineage: Bacteria; Bacillati; Bacillota; Bacilli; Caryophanales; Fictibacillaceae. The record is from RNAcentral.
GGCGUAAGCGCGCGCAGGCGGUUCUUUAAGUCUGAUGUGAAAGCCCACGGCUCAACCGUGGAGGGUCAUUGGAAACUGGGGAACUUGAGUGCAGGAGAGAAAAGUGGAAUUCCACGUGUAGCGGUGAAAUGCGUAGAGAUGUGGAGGAACACCAGUGGCGAAGGCGGCUUUUUGGCCUGUAACUGACGCUGAGGCGCGAAAGCGUGGGGAGCAAACAGGAUUAGAUACCCUGGUAGUCCACGCCGUAAACGAUGAGUGCUAGGUGUUGGGGGGUUCCACCCUCAGUGCUGACGUUAACACAUUAAGCACUCCGCCUGGGGAGUACGGCCGCAAGGCUGAAACUCAAAGGAAUUGACGGGGGCCCGCACAAGCAGUGGAGCAUGUGGUUUAAUUCGAAGCAACGCGAAGAACCUUACCAGGUCUUGACAUCCUCUGACCACUUGAGAGAUCAAGCUUUCCCCUUCGGGGGACAGAGUGACAGGUGGUGCAUGGUUGUCGUCAGCUCGUGUCGUGAGAUGUUGGGUUAAGUCCCGCAACGAGCGCAACCCUUGACCUUAGUUGCCAGCAUUCAGUUGGGCACUCUAAGGUGACUGCCGGUGACAAACCGGAGGAAGGUGGGGAUGACGUCAAAUCAUCAUGCCCCUUAUGACCUGGGCUACACACGUGCUACAAUGGGUGGUACAAAGGGUUGCGA